RNA transcript from Cebus imitator (Panamanian white-faced capuchin), 1802 nucleotides. It is a transcript of the gene named peroxiredoxin-6-like, with no coding region annotated. The record is from RefSeq and is a predicted model, not a curated record. Lineage: Eukaryota; Metazoa; Chordata; Mammalia; Primates; Cebidae. The transcript has a single exon.
UGCAGUAAGCUGAGAUUGCACCACUGCACUCCAGCCUGGGAGACUGAGUGAGACUCUGUCACACACACAAAAAAGAAAUUCUCAGACAGCCAAGGAUGUUUGGGAUGGGAUUUCGGUAUGAAAAAACAGAUCAAAACAAACAAUUAAAAAAUGCUCCUGGAAAAAAGGGAAACAGCAAUGCUGUUAACACGGUUAAAACAAACAAGCAGUCCUUCACGAGAAGCCCCUGGUUGGUUGCUAUCCAAGUGGUGCUUCCUCAUCACGGCCACUGCCAUGCUCAGAGGUCUGUUUCUUGGGGACGUGGCUCCCAACUUUGAGGCCAAUACUACCAUCGGCUGCAUCCAUUUCCAGGAACUUUCUGGGAGACUCAUGGGACAUUCUCUUUCCCACCCUCAGGACUUUACCCCAGUGUGCACCACAGAGCUUGGCAGAGCUGCAAAGCUGGCACCGGAAUUUGCCAAGAGGAAUGUCGAGCUGACUCCCCUUUCAAUAGACAGUGUUGAGGAAGGCCUUGCCUGGAGCAAGGUCACCAUUGCUUCCAAUGGUGAAGAGCCCAGAGAAGUCACCUUUUCCUAUCAUCGAUGAUAAGAAUCGGGACCUUGCCAUCCUGUAUCCAGCAGAGAAGGAUGAAAAGGGCGUGCCUGUGACAGCUCCUGUGGUGGUGUUUGUUUUCGGUCCUGAUAAGUCGCUGAAACUCUCUAUCCUCUACCCAGCUACCACUGGCAGCAACUUUGAUGAGAUUCUCAGGGUAUUCAUCUCUCUCCAGUUGACAGCAGAAAAGAGGGUUGCCACCCCAGUUGACCGGAAGGAUGGGGAUAGUGUGAUGGUCCUUCCAACCAUCCCUGAAGAAGAAGCCAAAAGACUUCUCACAAAAGGAGUCUUCACCAAAGAGCUCCCAUCUGGCAAGAAAUGCCUCCGCUACACACCCCAGCCUUAAGUCUCUUGGAGAAGCUGGUGCUGAGAGCCAGAGAUGUCAGCUGCCAAUCAUAUUUUCCUGCAGCAGUUCCAUAAAAACAUCCUGGUGUCAUCACAGCCAAGGUUUUUAGGUUGCUAUACUACUUGCUUAUUAAAUGAAAAUGUCACUAAAAGUUUCUUGGGAUUCUUUACUCUCUGCUUUCACCCGCACUCAAUUCUGUUCAUACAUCAGCACUCUCUACUGGUUCUCUUUGAAAUAUGUUCUGUAUUUAAAACUCAACUAUUGUUGGAUCUCUGCAGGGCUUGUGAUCAGUGAGGUCAUAUCGGUUGAUGGCUGAGAAAGCUUGUUUCACUCCAUCAGAGAAUGACUAUCAAUUUUUAAAAAUUGUCCUAUCACAUCCUCUUUUCUGUCACCCAUUUUGAAGAGCUGCAGAACUCGAGGUUCAACUUCCUCUGUAAAUAUCCAAGUAUAAAACCCAGGAACUUAGAGUAGCCCAGAUGCUCUUUAAUAUUCUGUGUUUUGAUCACAGCUGAGAAAAAAGCUUUUUAAUUCUGUACAUUUCUAGUAGAUAACUGAAAUGAAGAGCAGGGGAAGAGAUCUGUACAUAUUUUGCUAUAAAAAAAUUGUGAAAAGUUUCUAUCAAAAUGGAGAGACUACAGAAAAGGCUUUCCUUGGCUUGCAAGGAGGUGUAGCAGGUGUGAGCAAUACUAGUGCCGUGUGCCUUUCACACAGGGUUUGCAUGUAUCAGUCUGCUUUCUGAUGAUGUGCACCAUGUGAAGAGAAGAGAGAAUGAUUGAAAAUGUUUUAUUAGAGAACUCUUCUUGCAGUGGGUUGCUAUUUUCUGGAUUUUACUUUUUAGGAAAAAAUAAAAUCCUUUGUUAAAACU